This 712-nucleotide ribosomal RNA is filed under the name uncultured Lachnospiraceae bacterium. RNAcentral describes it as "bacterial SSU rRNA". It matches the Rfam family "Bacterial small subunit ribosomal RNA", at positions 47 to 756 of the family's 1533-position model. The record is from RNAcentral. Lineage: Bacteria; Bacillati; Bacillota; Clostridia; Lachnospirales; Lachnospiraceae.
CCUAACACAUGCAAGUCGAACGGAACUGUUUUGAAAGAUUUCUUCGGAAUGAAUUUGAUUUAGUUUAGUGGCGGACGGGUGAGUAACGCGUGAGUAACCUGCCUUCAAGAGGGGGAUAACAUUCUGAAAAGAAUGCUAAUACCGCAUGAUAUAUCGGAACCACAUGGUUUUGAUAUCAAAGAUUUUAUCGCUUGAAGAUGGACUCGCGUCCGAUUAGUUAGUUGGUGAGGUAACGGCUCACCAAGACCGCGAUCGGUAGCCGGACUGAGAGGUUGAACGGCCACAUUGGGACUGAGACACGGCCCAGACUCCUACGGGAGGCAGCAGUGGGGGAUAUUGCGCAAUGGGGGCAACCCUGACGCAGCAACGCCGCGUGAAGGAUGAAGGUUUUCGGAUUGUAAACUUCUUUUAUUAAGGACGAAAAACGACGGUACUUAAUGAAUAAGCUCCGGCUAACUACGUGCCAGCAGCCGCGGUAAUACGUAGGGAGCAAGCGUUGUCCGGAUUUACUGGGUGUAAAGGGUGCGUAGGCGGCUUUGCAAGUCAGAUGUGAAAUCUAUGGGCUCAACCCAUAAACUGCAUUUGAAACUGUAGAGCUUGAGUGAAGUAGAGGCAGGCGGAAUUCCCCGUGUAGCGGUGAAAUGCGUAGAGAUGGGGAGGAACACCAGUGGCGAAGGCGGCCUGCUGGGCUUUAACUGACGCUGAGGCACGA